This 652-nucleotide ribosomal RNA is filed under the name uncultured bacterium. Its description in RNAcentral is "bacterial SSU rRNA". It matches the Rfam family "Bacterial small subunit ribosomal RNA", at positions 202 to 842 of the family's 1533-position model. The record is from RNAcentral.
AAGAUGGCUUUGGCUAUCACUCUGGGAUGGACCUGCGGUGCAUUAGCUAGUUGGUAAGGUAACGGCUUACCAAGGCGAUGAUGCAUAGCCGAGUUGAGAGACUGAUCGGCCACAAUGGAACUGAGACACGGUCCAUACUCCUACGGGAGGCAGCAGUAGGGAAUCUUCCACAAUGGGCGCAAGCCUGAUGGAGCAACACCGCGUGAGUGAAGAAGGGUUUCGGCUCGUAAAGCUCUGUUGUUGGAGAAGAACGUGCGUGAGAGUAACUGUUCACGCAGUGACGGUAUCCAACCAGAAAGUCACGGCUAACUACGUGCCAGCAGCCGCGGUAAUACGCAGGUGGCAAGCGUUAUCCGGAUUUAUUGGGCGUAAAGCGAGCGCAGGCGGUUGCUUAGGUCUGAUGUGAAAGCCUUCGGCUUAACCGAAGAAGUGCAUCGGAAACCGGGCGACUUGAGUGCAGAAGAGGACAGUGGAACUCCAUGUGUAGCGGUGGAAUGCGUAGAUAUAUGGAAGAACACCAGUGGCGAAGGCGGCUGUCUGGUCUGCAACUGACGCUGAGGCUCGAAAGCAUGGGUAGCGAACAGGAUUAGAUACCCUGGUAGUCCAUGCCGUAAACGAUGAGUGCUAGGUGUUGGAGGGUUUCCGCCCUUCA